Molecule: non-coding RNA, 1495 nt
Organism: Rhopilema esculentum
Lineage: Eukaryota; Metazoa; Cnidaria; Scyphozoa; Rhizostomeae; Rhizostomatidae
Source: RefSeq, a predicted model, not a curated record
UCCCAGGUUGUCGUAGAAUAUAAAUAAGCAAUCCAUUUGUUUUAUAAUCAAUAUUUUGAGUUAUAAACCAUAUAUCAAAUAUGAUGUAUAUCAAAGUUUGGAUGAUGCUAAUGGAAGCUUGAGGAUGAUGUCGUUCGCUGUGGCAUUGUGCAGUGAAUUCGGCAGUGCUUUCGAAGGUUUAUACUAUCCAAGAUGGCUUACUUGAUGGUGCUCUAUUGUGACUUUUACUAGAUCAAUAAAUCAACUAAAUCUAUAAACUUGUGAAUUUUGUUCGAUUCUGGAAUUUGUACUGCACCGUAAAGCUUCGACAAGUAGAAGAAAUUCAAUUCCUGGACGCAGUGGUAGAGGACGCAGGCUGAUUGCGUUCAAUUGAGAGCUGACCCCCUGUCCAACGUGGAAUUGCAAUUUGAAUACAAGGGAAUCUGCCAUUGCCUAUGCUGAAACUCAAGUUCCUCCCAAGGUUGGAAAUAUGAAGUAGAUGAGCAAAGACGACAUCUAUCAAACCAAAGAGCUAUGGUGCCAAUUUUUCAUGGAACAAGCGCACCCGAAGCUCUACAAAAUAGAAUGCUUAGAAGACUAUGUGAAAAUAAUUGACUCAUUUGUUUGAUGUUUGUUUGGUAAUAAAAUUUCAUUGUAUAUCGAUCCGUAAGCUGUGUGUUCAUGAUAAAUUGUCUUGAAAGUGAUUGGAGACCUAUCCAUGCUCUGUUUUCUGUUUUAUUGGAUCAUACACCUGGUAACAUAAUUGAGAAAAUGUUCUCCUGCGUAAAUUUCAUGUUGAAGAACUUCAAUCGGGUAUGGAGAAUGAAGUUUGAAACCAUUUGAGACCUAAUCAUAAAAAGAGGCUUGAUAAGACUGUCUGUUCACUUGAAUAUACUUUAUCUACCAUUUCUCGCGUUUCUGUGCUGUUUUCACAAAACAAGAUGAAUUGCUGCAGGUUUUCAACUGCUGUGUCUAGUUAAAUAUGACCUGCGCAUGUCAGUAGUUCAUCCUCAAUUUACUGUAAUCUCAUCUCUCUCUACAGAAAAUUCUCGUAAUAUAUCUCCAAAUAUAUUGGCAUCAGAUUUACCUGCAUUCACUCUUCCUCGCCAAGGCUCACUGGCUUUCCCGUAAUUCUAAAAUCGCUCUUAGCAAGGAAACUUCUAAAAUCUUCCCUUAAAAGAAGGAGUCUGUUCUUGCGAAACGCCCUACUUACUGACUUUGGUCAAACGCAAUAACUUCUGCAUUUAUCAGUGCACAAACAGUAUAUUUGCCACCUUCUUCUUACUGACAGUAUCUUGUUGAAAAAUGUUGCUAUCAAAUGGUAGAUGUAGAUUCAUGGAUGUGUGACUCUUAACUGCUAUAGUCAAUGUUUUACCAUUCUACAUCUUAUCAUCAGUAGCACAACGAGGGGAGGAAAGAGGGUGAGGAUGCCCUGCCCCAAUUGCAAAAAGUCCCUUUGAAAAAGAGCGUUCCUGGCGUUCUAAAUGAUGAGUUACACCCACUUAACAGGCUUUUA